ACUCUUGUAGCUAAACCCAAAAGCGCUGGCCUUGUAAGACAGAAAUGGAAGACACUAGACCUUCCCGAGAGUA
RNAcentral lists this transfer RNA (73 nucleotides) under Mecistops leptorhynchus. RNAcentral describes it as "tRNA-Thr". It matches the Rfam family "tRNA". From Rfam's summary of the family: Transfer RNA (tRNA) molecules are approximately 80 nucleotides in length. Their secondary structure includes four short double-helical elements and three loops (D, anti-codon, and T loops). Further hydrogen bonds mediate the characteristic L-shaped molecular structure. tRNAs have two regions of fundamental functional importance: the anti-codon, which is responsible for specific mRNA codon recognition, and the 3' end, to which the tRNAs corresponding amino acid is attached (by aminoacyl-tRNA synthetases). tRNAs cope with the degeneracy of the genetic code in two manners: having more than one tRNA (with a specific anti-codon) for a particular amino acid; and 'wobble' base-pairing, i.e. permitting non-standard base-pairing at the 3rd anti-codon position. The record is from RNAcentral. Lineage: Eukaryota; Metazoa; Chordata; Crocodylia; Crocodylidae.